GGCACCAUACCCAAGCGGUAAGGGAGCGGUCUGCAAAACCGUUAUGCAUCAGUUCGAUUCUGAUUGGUGCCU
Molecule: transfer RNA, 72 nt
Filed under: Spirochaetaceae bacterium
Lineage: Bacteria; Pseudomonadati; Spirochaetota; Spirochaetia; Spirochaetales; Spirochaetaceae
Also listed under: 2 other names
Description: tRNA-Cys
Rfam family: tRNA
About the family: Transfer RNA (tRNA) molecules are approximately 80 nucleotides in length. Their secondary structure includes four short double-helical elements and three loops (D, anti-codon, and T loops). Further hydrogen bonds mediate the characteristic L-shaped molecular structure. tRNAs have two regions of fundamental functional importance: the anti-codon, which is responsible for specific mRNA codon recognition, and the 3' end, to which the tRNAs corresponding amino acid is attached (by aminoacyl-tRNA synthetases). tRNAs cope with the degeneracy of the genetic code in two manners: having more than one tRNA (with a specific anti-codon) for a particular amino acid; and 'wobble' base-pairing, i.e. permitting non-standard base-pairing at the 3rd anti-codon position.
Source: RNAcentral